Molecule: unclassified non-coding RNA, 329 nt
Filed under: soil metagenome
Description: partial contains 5.8S ribosomal RNA, internal transcribed spacer 2, and large subunit ribosomal RNA
Rfam family: 5.8S ribosomal RNA (bases 1-120)
Source: RNAcentral
GAUGAAGAACGCAGCGAAAUGCGAUAAGUAGUGUGAAUUGCAGAAUUCAGUGAAUCAUCGAGUCUUUGAACGCACAUUGCGCCCCUUGGUAUCCCGAGGGGCAUGCCUGUUCGAGCGUCAUUUCACCACUCAAGCCUGGCUUGGUGUUGGGCGACGUCCCCUUUGGGGACGCGCCUCGAAACGCUCGGCGGCGUGGCACCGGCUUUAAGCGUAGCAGAAUCUUUCGCUUUGGAAGUCGGGGCCCCGUCUGCCGGAAGACCUACUCGCAAGGUUGACCUCGGAUCAGGCAGGGAUACCCGCUGAACUUAAGCAUAUCAAUAAGCGGAGGA